Long non-coding RNA from Eriocheir sinensis (Chinese mitten crab), 3558 nucleotides. RefSeq lists it as uncharacterized. The record is from RefSeq and is a predicted model, not a curated record. NCBI's taxonomy places the organism in Eukaryota, Metazoa, Arthropoda, Malacostraca, Decapoda, Varunidae. The transcript has 3 exons.
AAGAAAAUUAAGGGACAGAAUCAGGGAACCAUUGAAAGAGAACGUAUUAAAGAGAGAAGCAUUUAACAAUCGAAGGUGCAAAAAGAUACCAAACCAGGGAAACUAAAAGAAGUUGAAAAGAAAGGAAAAGAAAAGAAAAUUAAGGGACAGAAUCAGGGAGCCAUUGAAAGAGGACGUAUUUAAGAGAGAAGCAUUUAAGAAUCGAAGUUGCAAAAAGAUACCAAACCAGGAAAAUGAAAGAAGUUGAAAAGAAAGGAAAAGAAAAGGAAAUGAAGGGAAAGAAGUAGAGGAAUUUUAUGAACGGCGGCAAAAAGAAACCUGAAGUAUAAAAGAGUGAAAAUGAAUAAUGAAUAAGGAAGAAGUUUGAAAUAUUAAAAUAGUAAGGGAAUAAAAGCUAGGAAAGGGAUGAAGAAGAAAAAGAAAGCAAAAACAAAAAAAAGGAAAAGUUGAAGAAGUUAAGGAGUAAAUGAGCAAAGGCUAAGAGAUGAAGAACGAACCAAAAGUGAAAAAGGAAGAAGAGCAAAAAUAAACAUCGAAGAAGGAAGAAAUUUGAAGUAUGCAAUAAAAGAAGGCGAUGAAGAAGGAGAAUGAAGCAAAAAGGAAAAUAUGAAAAUGGAGGAGACAAGGAAGAACUGAAGGAUUAAAAGUAAAGGAACAAAAAAUAACAGAGAUGAAGAAUGAAGAAAAAAAGGACGAUUCAAAAGAGGAGGCAAGGAAGAAACGAAGCAUGGGAAUGAAUAGUGAACUUAGAUGCAGAUGAAUAAAGCGAAAAAUAAAAGAGAAACGAAUGAAGUAGAAGGAGAAGGAGAUAAAGAAGAAAUGAAGGAUGGUGAUGAACAGUGAACUUAAGAUGCAGAAGAAGAAUAAAGCGGAAAAAAAAAAAAGGAUUGAAUGAAGUAGAAGGAGAUGAAGAAAAAAUGGAGGAUGGUGAUGAACAGUGAACUCUAAAAUGCAGAACAAGAAUGAAGCAAUAAAAAAAUAGGAAGUUAUAAAGUAAAAGGAGAAUGAGGGAAAGAAGAAAUGAAGGAUGGUGAUCAAUAGUGAACUUAAGAUGCAGAAGAAAAACGAAGAAAAAACGAAAAAAAAUAAAGGAAAAAAAUGAGGGAGCAAGGAAGAAAAGAAGGAUAGUGACGAACAGUGAACUUAAGAUGCAGAAGAAGAAUGAAGAAAAUACAAAAAAAGAAAGUAAUAAAGAAGGAGAAGUAGACGAGAAAGAAAUGAAGGAUGGUGAUGAACGGUGAACUUAAACAAGGCAAUUACCUGCGGCUCCCCUGCCUCAUUAACACCUGGCCAUUAUGGAAAUUACAAUUCUUUUAGUAAUUAACAAGACGCCAGCUGUGCCCGGGCAGGUGAGUUAGGGCGGCCAAGGGGAGGAGGAGGAGGAGGAGUUUGUUGAGAGAUCGGAAGAGGAAUCGGAUGAGCUCUUAAGAAAAAGGAGAGGAAAGGAAAAGGAAGAAGAAGAAGGGGAGAAGGAGGAAUAGGAUGAGCACUAAGAGAAAGAAUGGAAGAAGAAGGAGCAGAAGAAGAAGAAGAAGAAGAAGAAGAAGAAGAAGAAGAAGAAGAAGAAGAAGAAGAAGAAAAUGAAGAAGAAGAUGAAGAAGAAGAAGAAGAAAAUACAGUAUAGAGGAAAGAAAAAAGAGAAAGAAUAUGAGCUCUGUAAAGAAAGAAGGGGACAGAGAAUGAUGAAGAGAAGAAUUAAGAAGAAGAAAAAAACGAAAAUAAAGCUAAAGAUGAUAACGAUAAUCACUAAAAAUAAAGAAGAGAAUAAGGAAACAAAGAUAAAAGUAAUAAUAUAGAGGAAGAGGAGGCAUAGAAGUCGAAGAAACAAGCAGAAAAAAAUUAUAGAGAGGAAGGAAACGAAGUGAAGAUAAAUACAAAUAAAACCAAACACAAAACCAAACAGAAAACCAAACACAAAACCAAACAGAAAACCAAACACAAAACCAAACAGAAAACCAAACAGAAAACCAACACAGGCAAAUGAAAAGCCAGCGCACCGAAUUUCAGAUAGCCAGGUAACCCGUUGGCCCAUGGCGCUUUUUUUUUUUUACCUGUAAUAUAUAAAAAAAAGUACUUUCGUGGCUGCAUUUCUAAGAUACUUAUCCAAAUGAAUGUCUGAUUGGAUGAGGAAAUUGACUGAAGGAGUUAUUACGUGAGAGAUGGCGGGAUAGCGGGGAGUGGAUUGGGGAGGAAGAGGGGGAGGAAGGGGGAGGAGAGAGUGCUUGGGGAGAGAGAGGAGAACUGCUAGUGGAUUGGAGGUAGAGAUUAGCAGGAGGAGAGAAGGUGGGAAGAAUGGUGGAUGAGAAAACAGAGGAGGAUAAAGUAGAGAGUGGAUUGGGGGAAGGAAGAGGGGGAGGGAGUGGAGGAGAGGGAGAAGAAUUGGUGGUGGAUUGGAAGCUGAGAUUAGCAGGAGGAGAGGUGGGUGAACGGUGGAUGAGAGAGCAGUGGAGAAUGAGGCAUGGAAUAAAUGAUGAGGUGGAGAAAGGUGUCUAUGAGGGAAUAAGGAAGGUGGUGGAAUCAGGAUAGUGGAAGAGUGGAUAAAAGUGUAUAUGAGGGAAUAAGGAAGGUGGUGGAAUCAGGAUAGUGGAAGAGUGGAUAAAAGUGUAUAUGAGGGAAUAAGGAAGGUGGUGGAAUGAGGAUUGUGGAAGAGUGGAUAAAAGUGUAUAUGAGGGAAUAAGGAAGGUGGUGGAAUGAGGAUUGUGGAAGAGUGGAUAAAAGUGUAUAUGAGGGAAUAAGGAAGGUGGUGGAAUCAGGAUAGUGGAAGAGUGGAUAAAAGUGUAUAUGAGGGAAUAAGGAAGGUGGUGGAAUCAGGAUAGUGGAAGAGUGGAUAAAAGUGUAUAUGAGGGAACAAGGAAGGUGGUGGAAUGAGGAUAGUGGAAGAGUGGUGGAGAGAAGAGUAUAAUGAAACAUGGAACGAAUGAUGACAUGAAGAACACGUGAUAAUGUUAUGAGUAAAUGAGAAUCGGAUUGGUAGAGACAAUGAAGGUAAGAAGAAAGAAGGAAAAGAAAAGAAGAAAUAAGAAAAAGAUUAAGAUGAUCAUGACGAAGAGGAAGAAAAUAAAAGAAGAUAGGAAGGAAAAAAAUAAAAAUAAACGAUCAGGUGAAAGAAUGAGUUAGUGGGUGAGAGAAAAAUAAGAAAAGAGGGAAGGAGGAGGAGGAGGACAAGGAAGAGUAGAAAGAAGGAAAGUAAAAUAAAUAAACCAAAAAUAGAAGAAACAAUAGAUAAAAAAAGAGGUAGAAUUGGGAAAAGGAUCAGGUAUAGGGACGUGAAAUAAAAAAAAAAUCUGACUUGAAAGAAGAAGAGAAGGAGAAAAAAAAGACGAGGAGGAGGAGGACGAGGAGGAGGAGGAUUGAAGGAAUACAAUUUUGCUGAUAGACGGCUCUGCUUUUUAUCUUUUUUUUCUUUCUUCUGCUUGACUAGUUUGUGAAGAAUAUAACAGAUGACUCCUGCUUGAUCAGCCUGAGCGAUGGCGGCGGCGGUCGAGGAGGAGGGGGAGGAGGAGGAGGAGGAGGAGGAGGAGGAGGAAUAAUCUUGGCAUGCAGAAGAAUGAGUGAGAG